AUAGAACGCUGGCGGCAUGCCUUACACAUGCAAGUCGAACGGCAGCACGGGUGCUUGCACCUGGUGGCGAGUGGCGAACGGGUGAGUAAUACAUCGGAACAUGUCCUGUAGUGGGGGAUAGCCCGGCGAAAGCCGGAUUAAUACCGCAUACGAUCUACGGAUGAAAGCGGGGGACCUUCGGGCCUCGCGCUAUAGGGUUGGCCGAUGGCUGAUUAGCUAGUUGGUGGGGUAAAGGCCUACCAAGGCGACGAUCAGUAGCUGGUCUGAGAGGACGACCAGCCAAACGGGGACUGAGACACGGCCCAGACUCCUACGGGAGGCAGCAGUGGGGAAUUUUGGACAAUGGGCGAAAGCCUGAUCCAGCAAUGCCGCGUGUGUGAAGAAGGCCUUCGGGCUGUAAAGCGCUUUUGUCCGGAAAGAAAUCCUUGGCUCUAAUACAGUCGGGGGAUGACGGUACCGGAAGAAUAAGCACCGGCUAACUACGUGCCAGCAGCCGCCGUAA
This 502-nucleotide ribosomal RNA is filed under the name uncultured bacterium. RNAcentral's name for it is "partial 16S ribosomal RNA". It matches the Rfam family "Bacterial small subunit ribosomal RNA", at positions 31 to 523 of the family's 1533-position model. The record is from RNAcentral.